GAUGAACGCUGGCGGCGUGCCUAAUACAUGCCAGUCGAGCGAACGGACGAGAAGCUUGCUUCUCUGAUGUUAGCGGCGGACGGGUGAGUAACACGUGGAUAACCUCCCUAUAAGACUGGGAUAACUUCGGGAAACCGGAGCUAAUACCGGAUAAUAUUUUGAACCGCAUGGUUCAAAAGUGAAAGACGGUCUUGCUGUCACUUAUAGAUGGAUCCGCGCUGCAUUAGCUAGUUGGUAAGGUAACGGCUUACCAAGGCAACGAUGCAUAGCCGACCUGAGAGGCUGAUCGGCCACACUGGAGCUGGAACGCGGUCCAGACUACUACGGGAGGCAGCAGUAGGGAAUCGGCCGCAAUAGGCGAAAGCCUGACGGAGCAACGCCGCGUGAGUGAUGAAGGUCUUCGGAUCGUAAAACUCUGUUAUUAGGGAAGAACAUAUGUGUAAGUAACUGUGCACAUCUUGACGGUACCUAAUCAGAAAGCAACGGCUAACUACGUG
RNAcentral lists this ribosomal RNA (497 nucleotides) under uncultured bacterium. RNAcentral's name for it is "partial 16S ribosomal RNA". It matches the Rfam family "Bacterial small subunit ribosomal RNA", at positions 28 to 507 of the family's 1533-position model. The record is from RNAcentral.